This 253-nucleotide ribosomal RNA is filed under the name uncultured bacterium. RNAcentral's name for it is "partial 16S ribosomal RNA". It matches the Rfam family "Bacterial small subunit ribosomal RNA", at positions 524 to 776 of the family's 1533-position model. The record is from RNAcentral.
UACGAAGGGUGCAAACGUUGCUCGGAAUCAUUGGGCGUAAAGCGCACGUAGGCGGCCUUGCAAGUCGGAUGUGAAAUCCCACGGCUCAACCGUGGACGUGCAUUCGAAACUGCUUGGCUCGAGUAUGGAAGAGGGUCGCGGAAUUCCCGGUGUAGAGGUGAAAUUCGUAGAUAUCGGGAGGAACACCAGUGGCGAAGGCGGCGACCUGGGCCAAUACUGACGCUGAGGUGCGAAAGCGUGGGGAGCAAACAGG